UCUAAAGAACCCUAAGACUCUCCUCCACAUCCCAUCCUAUGGUUGCCCUCUUCGAUACAUCCAUUGCAGAGUCAUGAUGUGGGGUCAUACGAAGACCCUGCUCCGUAAUCCCUCUCCUCGGAUCCUGAACCUGUUGCCUUCGGACUGUACUGCACCUGGAUAUAACAUGGUCUUGAUACGGGCUUGGUCGGCGCGUCGACCACACCUCAACUCUCUCCCCGCCAACCACUGAGUGCUGAUCUAUUUUUGUGGAGUCUGCUUAGAUUCCAUAACCGCCCUAACCCUCUCAUACUGAGCUGUACCUCGAAUUGCUAGAGAGACUGCUUUGCAAGCCGAAGGUCCCUGGCUGGACUCCGGACCCCUCCACCUUUUUGCGCUUGCGCGCAUCUGUUGCCUCAUCUGUCCGCUUUCUGGAAACUACAAGAAGCUGACAGUUUCAGAUUAUCUCUUCGAUUGCUCAUCGUCCUCUACACAGUUCGCUGCUGACGUCGGACAUCAACGUCGUUCUUUGACAACUGAAUAGGUCUUGAAGAAAGACCAUGUGUAUCAAGAGCACAGUGAUUGUUAAGCUACUAAGGGUGUACGGUGAAUGCGCUGGCUCGGCAAGCGAUGAAGGACGUAGCUAGCUGCGAUAAGCCUCGGGAAGCCGCAGGCAGGCCGUGAUCCGAGGAUCUCCGAAUGCGGAAGCCCGG
Molecule: unclassified non-coding RNA, 692 nt
Filed under: uncultured Nitrospirota bacterium
Lineage: Bacteria; Pseudomonadati; Nitrospirota
Description: uncultured Nitrospirae bacterium partial contains 16S ribosomal RNA, 16S-23S ribosomal RNA intergenic spacer, and 23S ribosomal RNA
Rfam family: Bacterial large subunit ribosomal RNA (bases 563-692)
Source: RNAcentral